GAGUUUGAUCGUGGCUCAGAUUGAACGCUGGCGGCAUGCCUUACACAUGCAAGUCGAACGGCAGCACGGGAGCUUGCUCCUGGUGGCGAGUGGCGAACGGGUGAGUAAUGCAUCGGAACGUAUCCUGGAGUGGGGGAUAACGUAGCGAAAGUUACGCUAAUACCGCAUAUUCUGUGAGCAGGAAAGCGGGGGACCUUCGGGCCUCGCGCUCUUGGAGCGGCCGAUGUCGGAUUAGCUAGUUGGUGAGGUAAAGGCUCACCAAGGCGACGAUCCGUAGCAGGUCUGAGAGGAUGAUCUGCCACACUGGAACUGAGACACGGUCCAGACUCCUACGGGAGGCAGCAGUGGGAAUUUUGGACAAUGGGGGCAACCCUGAUCCAGCCAUGCCGCGUGAGUGAAGAAGGCCUUCGGUGUAAGACGUCUUCGUCGA
Molecule: ribosomal RNA, 430 nt
Filed under: bacterium enrichment culture clone ALO1_GLFRUDD03F447B
Lineage: Bacteria
Description: bacterial SSU rRNA
Rfam family: Bacterial small subunit ribosomal RNA
Source: RNAcentral